AGUUUAGUUUUCUUGAUUCAUGUUUUGGCAGAUAUUUUGUGUCCAUUCGAAUCCUCAAUCUCUAUUGUGAACUCUGAUACUUUUUCCAAUCAAAUUGGACACUCCUAGCCUUGUAUGUGGCCAACCCUAGCUCACGCUACAGACAAGUGUUGUUGAAUCAGUUUAGUUUUCUUGAUUCAUGUUUUGGCAGAUAUUUUGUGUCCAUUCGAAUCCUCAAUCUUUAAUGUGAACUCUCAUACUUUUUCCAAUCAAAUUGGACACUCCUAGCCUUGUAUGUGGCCAACCCUAGCUCACGCUACAGACAAGUGUUGUUGAAUCAGUUUAGUUUUCUUGACUCAUUUUUUGGCAGAUAUUUUGUGUCCAUUCGAAUCCUCAAUCUCUAAUGUGAAGUGUCAUACUUUUUCCGCUCAAAUUGGAAACUCCUAGCCUUUGAUGUGGCCAACCCUAGCUCACGGUACAGACGGGUAUGGUUGAAUCAGUUCAAUUUUUUUGACUCAUGUUUUGGCAGAUCUUUUGUGUCCAUUCGAAUCCUCAAUCACUAAUGUGAACUCUCAUUCUUUUUCCAAUCAAAUUGGACACUCCUAGCCUUUUAUGUGGCCAACCCUAGCUCACGGUACAGACAAUUGUUGUUGAAUCAGUUUAAUUUUUUUGACUCAUGUUUUGGCAGAUCUUUUGUGUCCAUUCGAAUCCUCAAUCUCUAAUGUGAACCCUCAUACUUUUUCCAAUCAAAUUGGACACUCCUAGCCCUGUAUGUGGCCAACCCUAGCUCACGCUACAGACAAGUGUUGUUGAAUAAGUUUAGUUUUCUUGAUUCAUGUUUUGGCAGAUAUUUUGUGUCCAUUCGAAUCCUCAAUAUCUAAUGUGAUGCCUCAUACUUUUUCCACUCAAAUUGGAAACUUCUAGCCUUUGAUGUGGCCAACCCUAGCUCACGGUACAGACGGAUAUUGUUGAAUCAGUUCAAUUUUUUUGACUCAUGUUUUGGCAGAUCUUUUAUGUCCAUUCGAAUCCUCAAUCUCUAAUGUGAACUCUCAUUCUUUUUCCAAUCAAAUUGGACACUCCUAGCCUUGUAUGUGGCCAACCUUAGCUCACGCUACAGACAAGUGUUGUUGAAUCAGUUUAGUUUUCUUGACUCAUUUUUUGGUAGAUAUUUUGUGUCCAUUCGAAUCCUCAAUCUCUAAGGUGAAGUGUCAUACUUUUUCCGCUCAAAUUGGAAACUUCUAGCCUUUGAUGUGGCCAACCCUAGCUCACGGUACAGACGGAUAUUGUUGAAUCUGUUCAAUUUUUUUGACUCAUGUUUUGGCAGAUCUUUUGUGUCCAUUCGAAUCCUCAAUCUCUAAUGUGAACUCUCAUACUUUUUUCAAUCAAAUUGGACACUCCUAGCGCUGUAUGUGGCCAACCCUAGCUCACGCUACAGACAAGUGUUGUUGAAUCAGUUUAGUUUUCUUGAUUCAUGUUUUGGCAGAUAUUUUGUGUCCAUUCGAAUCCUCAGUCUCUAUUGUGAACUCUGAUACUUUUUCCAAUCAAAUUGGACAGCCUUGUAUGUGGCCAACCCUAGCUCACGCUACAGACAAGUGUUGUUGAUAUAGGUUUUGGCAGAUAUUUUGUGUCCAUUCGAAUCCUCAAUCUUUAAUGUGAACUCUCAUACUUUUUCCAAUCAAAUUGGACACUCCUAGCCUUUUAUGUGGCCAACCCUAGCUCACGGUACAGACAAUUGUUGUUGAAUCAGUUUAGUUUUCUUGACUCAUGUUUUGGCAGAUAUUUUGUGUCCAUUCGAAUCCUCAAUCUCUAAUGUGAAGUGUCAUACUUUUUCCGCUCAAAUUGGAAACUCCUAGCCUUUGAU
This 1840-nucleotide long non-coding RNA is filed under the name Prunus persica (peach). RNAcentral's name for it is "long non-coding RNA (PPER_LNC005558)". The record is from RNAcentral. Lineage: Eukaryota; Viridiplantae; Streptophyta; Magnoliopsida; Rosales; Rosaceae.